UACGUAGGGUGCGAGCGUUAAUCGGAAUUACUGGGCGUAAAGCGUGCGCAGGCGGUUGGUUAAGUCUGAUGUGAAAGCCCCGGGCUCAACUUGGGGAUGGCAUUGGAAACUGGCUGGCUAGAGUGUGGCAGAGGGGGGUGGAAUUCCGCGUGUAGCAGUGAAAUGCGUAGAGAUGCGGAGGAACACCGAUGGCGAAGGCAGCCCCCUGGGCUGACACUGACGCUCAGGCACGAAAGCGUGGGGAGCAAACAGG
This 253-nucleotide ribosomal RNA is filed under the name uncultured bacterium. RNAcentral's name for it is "partial 16S ribosomal RNA". It matches the Rfam family "Bacterial small subunit ribosomal RNA", at positions 524 to 776 of the family's 1533-position model. The record is from RNAcentral.